UCCUGGUGGCUCAGAUGGUAAAGAAUCUGCUUGCAAUGUAGAAGACCCAAGUUCAAUCCCUGGGCCAGGAA
This 71-nucleotide transfer RNA is filed under the name Bos taurus (domestic cattle). It matches the Rfam family "tRNA". From Rfam's summary of the family: Transfer RNA (tRNA) molecules are approximately 80 nucleotides in length. Their secondary structure includes four short double-helical elements and three loops (D, anti-codon, and T loops). Lineage: Eukaryota; Metazoa; Chordata; Mammalia; Artiodactyla; Bovidae. RNAcentral also lists the same sequence under 2 other names. The record is from Rfam by way of RNAcentral.